UAAUUCAUGUUCACAUCCCAUCUUUCUUGAAGUAAAAAGAAAAAUGCUCUGUAAAAAGCAAGACAGAAUAGGAAAUCAGAAAAAGUCCUAUCUACAAACUUAAAUACAUCAUUACAGCUGAAACUUAAUCAGAAUUUUAGCUGUACAAAAAGCCAAGAAAUAACAAUGGCAGGGGUAGAUUAUGUACCUCUAUAACAUAAGAGGUUCUCUAGUCUUCAUGUUCAAAGCUAAGCUAUUUAAACAGCCAUCUAGCAAAAUCCCUUCCCUUCAUCAGUGCUGGGAGCAGCUAGCCUUGAGAUGCAGAGCCACUGCCCAAAAGAGAAGUCAGCCCCACACAGACUAUGUCCCAUGCUGUGACACCUCGCCUUGCAGCACAGCCACGCAGCUUCUAAGUGCCUUGGGCCAAACCUGCUCCUUACCAGGAAACACCACAUCCCUAUUGUAAAUGAAGGAAAAGGUCACGAAGAAUUUAGCAAGUGGUUUCCUUUGAAUUCCCUGGCUACCAGUGCCUUUGCACCCGCAGUUUGCAGGCUGGUGUGCUCAGUCCCCAGGGCUGGGGCUGUGGCCAUCUCCCAGCUGCUGGCUCUGUGCCCAGUGGAGCCGGGUGGCCCGCACGGAGUUGCCGUCGCUUUGCGGAGAUUAAUGUGAUUGGAUAGAUCACAUCCAUCAAGAUCCCUCGCAUUCCCAGGAGGAUGAUUAAUUAGUGUAAUCUUAUUUAAACUCGGAAUUACACUUGAAGCAGUCACCAUUUGGAUUUUCGAAUGGCCCAGUUGAGGAGUUCAUUUACAAGCAGAAAGACAAACAAGGAGGAAAACCUCAUCAACUUAAACAAAAGAUUUCUCUUUGCUCAGAAAUCACCUAUUGUCCAGAGUGCAACAGGUGGAAACACCUUCUGUUAUGAUCUGUGUUUCCAUACAAAUGGAGAACUGCCCAGGGUAGCCUAGUGGUUAAAGAUUAGGACUUCUAACUGCAGACUUCUAUUCCUGGCUUUGCAAGGGACUUUUGCAACCACCAGUCAGAGGCUGAAAUUUCUUCCAGUGACA
Long non-coding RNA from Serinus canaria (Common canary), 1043 nucleotides. RefSeq lists it as uncharacterized. The record is from RefSeq and is a predicted model, not a curated record. Lineage: Eukaryota; Metazoa; Chordata; Aves; Passeriformes; Fringillidae. The transcript is spliced from 4 exons.